GAAAUGAAUAGAAGUUCAGCCCUUUAAGUUAUUCCCACUCACUGAUGCUUUAAGCUAAAAUUAAGAUCAAGGAAACUAAAGGAGUUAAUCAAAAGAGGUACAGCUCUUUUGAUAAAAGAAACAACUUUAUUAGGUGAUUUAAGAUCAUAAUAUUUAAGGAUCCAAAUUAAGUGGGCCUAAAGGCAGCCAUCUUAUAAAGAAAGCGUUACAGCUCAAAUUAACCCUAAUCCGUAUAUAAUGAUAUUCUAUCUUAAUCCCUCCCCAAUAUCAGGCCUUCUUACGCCCCCGUAAGAACGAUUAUGCUAAAAUGAGUAAUAAGAAAAACAUAAUUUUCUCCUAGCACAUGUGUAAGUCGGAUCGGACUACCCACCGACCAUUAACCGACCCCAAAUAAAGAGGGACAUAAGCCAUAAAACAAGAAAAACACUUAACUUAUAUCGUUAAUUCAACACAGGAGUGCCCCCAGGAAAGACUAAAAGAGGAAGGAAGGAACUCGGCAAACGCAAGCCUCGCCUGUUUACCAAAAACAUCGCCUCUUGACCCUAAAAUAUAAGAGGUCCCGCCUGCCCACUGACUAUAUGUUCAACGGCCGCGGUAUUUUAACCGUGCAAAGGUAGCGUAAUCACUUGUCUUUUAAAUGAAGACCUGUAUGAAUGGCAUCACGAGGGCUUAACUGUCUCCCCCCUCCAGUCAAUGAAAUUGACCUCCCCGUGCAGAGGCGGGGAUACCCCUAUAAGACGAGAAGACCCUGUGGAGCUUUAGACCUAAAAUAAAUUAUGUUCAACACUCUGCAAAACCAGUAAAAACUUAAUAAUACUUAUUCAAGUGUCUUUGGUUGGGGCGACCGAGGGGAAAAACACAACCCCCAUGUGGACCGGGGAUAUUAUCCCUAACACUCAGAGCCACUACUCCAAGUAACAGAAAUUCUGACCUUCUGAUCCGGUAUAACCGAUCAACGAACCGAGUUACCCCAGGGAUAACAGCGCAAUCCCCUCUAAGAGCCCUUAUCGACAAGGGGGUUU
This 1022-nucleotide ribosomal RNA is filed under the name Melanonus gracilis (pelagic cod). Its description in RNAcentral is "partial 16S ribosomal RNA". It matches the Rfam family "Bacterial large subunit ribosomal RNA", at positions 861 to 2519 of the family's 2925-position model. The record is from RNAcentral. Lineage: Eukaryota; Metazoa; Chordata; Actinopteri; Gadiformes; Melanonidae.